Molecule: small nuclear RNA, 107 nt
Organism: Nannospalax galili (Upper Galilee mountains blind mole rat)
Lineage: Eukaryota; Metazoa; Chordata; Mammalia; Rodentia; Spalacidae
Source: Ensembl
GUGCUGGCUUGAGCGGCACAUGUGCUAAAACUGGAAUGAUGCUGAGAAGAUUAGCAUGGCCUCUGAGCAAGGACAAUGUGUAAAUUCAUGAAGUUCCAUAUUUUUCU